Pundamilia nyererei is the source of this 520-nucleotide long non-coding RNA. RefSeq lists it as uncharacterized. Lineage: Eukaryota; Metazoa; Chordata; Actinopteri; Cichliformes; Cichlidae. The transcript is spliced from 3 exons. The record is from RefSeq and is a predicted model, not a curated record.
UGCAGCACAGCAGAAAGCGGUUUUUCCCACCGCAGCACGAGCUGCUCCAUCAACUGUAUCGGCGAGAGUUGUGAAGCGAGUCGGUCACCGAAAACUUUGCACAAAGUGCGCCGUACAUGUCUUCGUGCGGCGUUUAGGUGGAUGCUGAGUGGAUCUGACACGGCUGACAGCAAGCGGGAAUCCUGAAUCACCUGGUAAAUCGGGAGAAUUAGAACGCAGAAAGCACCCAGAGCCACGUAUCUAACUUUAAAUGGCCUAAAGAGUGGUUAGUUAUGUCGCAGAUACGCGUCCAGGUUGAGACAGACCCCGCACCCACAGGGACACACGUGGCCUUGUAAGCUGUGGCGGCGACCGUAUUAUCAAGGAAAUUCCUGAGUCCUCCAGGGUCACCUAUCUGCUGGCUUCUCUAUCUGCUGGUUUGUACAGCUGUACAAGCUUCUGUUUCCACAACACUCAUACACAGAGCACGCUCAGCACUGAUGUGGCGUCUUAGUCACUCAAGAGGUCAGCAGAAGCUGAA